Molecule: ribosomal RNA, 400 nt
Filed under: uncultured bacterium
Lineage: Bacteria
Description: bacterial SSU rRNA
Rfam family: Bacterial small subunit ribosomal RNA
Source: RNAcentral
UGGGGAAUCUUGGACAAUGGGGGCAACCCUGAUCCAGCGAUGCCGCGUGAGUGAAGAAGGCCUUAGGGUUGUAAAGCUCUUUCACCCGUGAAGAUAAUGACGGUAGCGGGAGAAGAAGCCCCGGCUAACUCCGUGCCAGCAGCCGCGGUAAGACGGAGGGGGCUAGCGUUGUUCGGAAUGACUGGGCGUAAAGGGCGCGUAGGUGGUUUUUCAAGUCAGGCGUGAAAGCCCCGGGCUUAACCUGGGAACUGCGCUUGAUACUGGAUGACUAGAGGGCGGGAGAGGAAAGUGGAAUUCCGGGUGUAGAGGUGAAAUUCGUAGAUAUUCGGAGGAAGAUCAGAGGCGAAGGCGGCUUUCUGGCUCGUAUCUGACGCUGAGGCGCGAAAGCGUGGGGAGCAAA